GAUCCUGGCUCAGGAUGAACGCUAGCUACAGGCUUAACACAUGCAAGUCGAGGGGCAGCAGGACGAUAGCUUGCUAUGUUGCUGGCGACCGGCGCACGGGUGAGUAACGCGUAUCCAACCUUCCCCUUAGUAGGGCAUAGCCCGGUGAAAAUCGGAUUAAUACCCUAUGUUUUCCAAUGAGGACAUCUGAGCUGGAACAAAGGUUUACCGCUAAGGGAUGGGGAUGCGUCCGAUUAGGUAGUCGGCGGGGUAACGGCCCACCGAGCCCUCGAUCGGUAGGGGUUCUGAGAGGAAGGUCCCCCACACUGGUACUGAGACACGGACCAGACUCCUACGGGAGGCAGCAGUGAGGAAUAUUGGUCAAUGGGCGAGAGCCUGAACCAGCCAAGUAAGCGUGCAGGAUGACGGCCCUAUGGGUUGUAAACUGCUUUUAUACGGGGAUAAAGUGAGGGACGUGUCCCUUAUUGUAGGUACCGUAUGAAUAAGGACCGGCUAAUUCCGUGCCAGCCGCUGC
RNAcentral lists this ribosomal RNA (514 nucleotides) under uncultured bacterium. Its description in RNAcentral is "bacterial SSU rRNA". It matches the Rfam family "Bacterial small subunit ribosomal RNA", at positions 15 to 518 of the family's 1533-position model. The record is from RNAcentral.